UUAGGCUAAGAUUUGUGAAGA
This 21-nucleotide microRNA is filed under the name Arabidopsis thaliana (thale cress). RNAcentral's name for it is "ath-miR1888b". The record is from miRBase by way of RNAcentral. Lineage: Eukaryota; Viridiplantae; Streptophyta; Magnoliopsida; Brassicales; Brassicaceae.